CGCGUAGGCGGUUUGAUAAGUCAGAUGUGAAAGCCCACGGCUUAACUGUGGAAGUGCAUUUGAAACUGUCAGACUUGAGUAUCAGAGGGGAAAGUGGAAUUCCCGGUGUAGAGGUGAAAUUCGUAGAUAUCGGGAGGAAUACCGGUGGCGAAGGCGACUUUCUGGCUGAAUAUGACGCUGAGGCGCGAAAGCGUGGGGAGCAAACA
Molecule: ribosomal RNA, 206 nt
Filed under: uncultured delta proteobacterium
Lineage: Bacteria; Deltaproteobacteria
Description: partial 16S ribosomal RNA
Rfam family: Bacterial small subunit ribosomal RNA
Source: RNAcentral